Molecule: ribosomal RNA, 460 nt
Filed under: uncultured bacterium
Lineage: Bacteria
Description: partial 16S ribosomal RNA
Rfam family: Bacterial small subunit ribosomal RNA
Source: RNAcentral
CCUACGGGAGACUGCAGUGAGGAAUAUUGGUCAAUGGCCGAGAGUCUGAACCAGCCAAGUAGCGUGAAGGAUGACUGCCCUAUGGGUUGUAAACUUCUUUUAUAUGGGAAUAAAACGUUCCACGUGUGGGAUUUUGUAUGUACCAUAUGAAUAAGGAUCGGCUAACUCCGUGCCAGCAGCCGCGGUAAUACGGAGGAUCCGAGCGUUAUCCGGAUUUAUUGGGUUUAAAGGGAGCGUAGGUGGAUUGUUAAGUCAGUUGUGAAAGUUUGCGGCUCAACCGUAAAAGUGCAGUUGAAACUGGCAGUCUUGAGUACAGUAGAGGUGGGCGGAAUUCGUGGUGUAGCGGUGAAAUGCUUAGAUAUCACGAAGAACUCCGAUUGCGAAGGCAGUUCACUGGACUGCAACUGACACUGAGGCUCGAAAGUGUGGGUAUCAAACAGGAUUAGAUACCCUAGUAGUC